RNAcentral lists this ribosomal RNA (253 nucleotides) under uncultured bacterium. RNAcentral's name for it is "partial 16S ribosomal RNA". It matches the Rfam family "Bacterial small subunit ribosomal RNA", at positions 524 to 776 of the family's 1533-position model. The record is from RNAcentral.
UACGUAGGGGGCAAGCGUUGUCCGGAAUCAUUGGGCGUAAAGCGCGUGUAGGCGGCCCGGUAAGUCCGCUGUGAAAGUCGGGGGCUCAACCCUCGGAUGCCGGUGGAUACUGUCGGGCUUGAGUACGGAAGAGGCGAGUGGAAUUCCUGGUGUAGCGGUGAAAUGCGCAGAUAUCAGGAGGAACACCAAUUGCGAAGGCAGCUCGCUGGGACGUUACUGACGCUGAGGAGCGAAAGCGUGGGGAGCGAACAGG